AACGAACGCUGGCGGCGUGGAUUAGGCAUGCAAGUCGAACGCGAAAGAGGGAGCAAUCCCUCAAGUAGAGUGGCGAACGGGUGAGUAACGCGUGAAGAACCUGCCUUCAACAGGGGGAUA
RNAcentral lists this ribosomal RNA (120 nucleotides) under uncultured bacterium. RNAcentral's name for it is "partial 16S ribosomal RNA". It matches the Rfam family "Bacterial small subunit ribosomal RNA", at positions 29 to 145 of the family's 1533-position model. The record is from RNAcentral.